RNAcentral lists this ribosomal RNA (468 nucleotides) under uncultured bacterium. RNAcentral describes it as "partial 16S ribosomal RNA". It matches the Rfam family "Bacterial small subunit ribosomal RNA", at positions 28 to 507 of the family's 1533-position model. The record is from RNAcentral.
GACGAACGCUGGCGGCGUGCUUAACACAUGCAAGUCGAACGGAAAGGCCCUGCUUUUGUGGGGUGCUCGAGUGGCGAACGGGUGAGUAACACGUGAGUAACCUGCCCUUGACUUUGGGAUAACUUCAGGAAACUGGGGCUAAUACCGGAUAGGAGCUCCUGCUGCAUGGUGGGGGUUGGAAAGUUUCGGCGGUUGGGGAUGGACUCGCGGCUUAUCAGCUUGUUGGUGGGGUAGUGGCUUACCAAGGCUUUGACGGGUAGCCGGCAGGAGAGGGUGACCGGGCACAGUGGGACAGUGGUGCGGCCCGGCCCCCUGCGGGAGGCAGCUGGGGGGAGUAGUGCGCGAUGGGCGGAAGUCUGUUGCAGGAUCGCGGCGUUCGGGAUGGUGGACUGCGGGUAGUAGACCGCUUUGGCCGGUGACUGUGCGUGAGUGCCGGUACUGGAUUAAGAAGCACCGGCUAACUACGUG